AGACAAGUCGAGUCCUGGUGCAAUAAGGAGUCUCGGCAGGACCAAUAACCCGGAAGUGAAUUCGGUUCAAUAAAGGACUAGGUUCACAAUCAUAGUGAAAAUAGGAUUGGUCGAGUUAGUGUUUGAUCAGGAGAAGAAGUCCUAGUCCAAAUAGGGUUUUAACUCGACCUUGAGGGUAUCCGUUGCUAUAAAUAGAAGAGGUUGUACAUAGU
Molecule: long non-coding RNA, 212 nt
Filed under: Malus domestica (apple)
Lineage: Eukaryota; Viridiplantae; Streptophyta; Magnoliopsida; Rosales; Rosaceae
Description: long non-coding RNA (MDOM_LNC009675)
Source: RNAcentral